ACGAACGCUGGCGGCGUGCUUAACACAUGCAAGUCGAACGGAAAGGCCCUGCUUUUGUGGGGUGCUCGAGUGGCGAACGGGUGAGUAACACGUGAGUAACCUGCCCUUGGCUUUGGGAUAACUUCAGGAAACUGGGGCUAAUACCGGAUAGGAGCUCCUGCUGCAUGGUGGGGGUUGGAAAGGUUCGGCGGUUGGGGAUGGACUCGCGGCUUAUCAGCUUGUUGGUGGGGUAGUGGCUUACCAAGGCUUUGACGGGUAGCCGGCCUGAGAGGGUGACCGGCCACAUUGGGACUGAGAUACGGCCCAGACUCCUACGGGAGGCAGCAGUGGGGAAUAUUGCACAAUGGGCGGAAGCCUGAUGCAGCAACGCCGCGUGCGGGAUGACGGCCUUCGGGUUGUAAACCGCUUUCGCCUGUGACGAAGCGUGAGUGACGGUAAUGGGUAAAGAAGCACCGGCUAACUACGUG
This 467-nucleotide ribosomal RNA is filed under the name uncultured bacterium. RNAcentral's name for it is "partial 16S ribosomal RNA". It matches the Rfam family "Bacterial small subunit ribosomal RNA", at positions 29 to 507 of the family's 1533-position model. The record is from RNAcentral.